Molecule: ribosomal RNA, 216 nt
Filed under: Glomeromycotina sp.
Lineage: Eukaryota; Fungi; Glomeromycota
Description: partial small subunit ribosomal RNA
Rfam family: Eukaryotic small subunit ribosomal RNA (bases 40-216)
Source: RNAcentral
GGGUCAGGAGGUUGGUCGUGCCACCGGUACGUACUGGUCUCACUGAUUCCUCCUUCCUGAAGAGCCGUAAUGCCAUUAAUUUGGUGUUGCGGGGAAACAGGACUGUUACUUUGAAAAAAUUAGAGUGUUUAAAGCAAGCUAACGCUUGAAUACAUUAGCAUGGAAUAAUGAAAUAGGACGAUCGAUCCUAUUUUGUUGGUUUCUAGGAUUGACGUA